UGUGCCUCACCACAUCCACAGUGGGAGUGCGGUAAUGGUGUUAUGAGAACCCUUAUGUAUUAAAGACACUAUUGGUUUGAUGUGAAUAGAAUUUGGUAUUUAAUAUGAAAUCUGAAUAGUGUUAUUUGAGGCAGAGCAACAUACCUAUUAAACUUUAGAGCUAGGAAGUAACUUGGUCUGUGGAAGGAGGGUUUACAGCAGGGGAAUACUGCGGCUUUUGCUAAAAUGAUUUCAAAUUUUCAAAUAUCUGAAUUAAACACAUGAGAUUGUAAUUUUCUUCAUGUAUGUCUAUGAUGUCGUUAUACAACAGUCAAUUUUAAUGAAAACAUAAAUAUUUAAGUCAUAAUUUCUCCUUUUCAAUUUUUCUCAUCUAGAAGGAGCUGGCAAACAGCCCUGACUGUCCCCAGAUGUGUGCCUAUAAGCUGGUGACCAUCAAAUUCAAGUGGUGGGGACUGCAAAGCAAAGUAGAAAACUUCAUUCAAAAGCAAGAAAAACGGAUAUUUACAAACUUCCAUCGCCAGCUUUUUUGUUGGAUUGACAAGUGGAUCGAUCUCACGAUGGAAG
RNAcentral lists this long non-coding RNA (564 nucleotides) under Homo sapiens (human). RNAcentral describes it as "non-protein coding lnc-MN1-7:1". The record is from RNAcentral. Lineage: Eukaryota; Metazoa; Chordata; Mammalia; Primates; Hominidae.